This 504-nucleotide ribosomal RNA is filed under the name uncultured bacterium. RNAcentral describes it as "partial 16S ribosomal RNA". It matches the Rfam family "Bacterial small subunit ribosomal RNA", at positions 28 to 523 of the family's 1533-position model. The record is from RNAcentral.
GAUGAACGCUAGCGGCAGGCUUAACACAUGCAAGUCGAGGGGCAGCAUAAAUAGUAGCAAUACUAUUGGUGGCGACCGGCGGACGGGUGCGUAACGCGUAUACAACCUUCCCUAAACAGGGGGAUAAUCUGGAGAAAUUCGGUCUAAUACCCCAUAACAUCAGAGCAGGCAUCUGUUUUGGUUAAAAUUUCCGGAGGUUUAGGAUGGGUAUGCGUAGCAUUAGCUAGUUGGUGAGGUAACGGCUUACCAAGGCGACGAUGCUUAGGGGGACUGAGAGGUUAACCCCCCACACUGGUACUGAGACACGGACCAGACUCCUACGGGAGGCAGCAGUGAGGAAUAUUGGUCAAUGGGCGGAAGCCUGAACCAGCCAUGCCGCGUGCAGGAUGACGGCUCUAUGAGUCGUAAACUGCUUUUGUACGAGGGUAAAGUGGGCUACGUGUAGCCGUUUGAAAGUAUCGUACGAAUAAGGAUCGGCUAACUCCGUGCCAGCCGCCGCCGUAA